Long non-coding RNA from Motacilla alba alba, 1048 nucleotides. RefSeq lists it as uncharacterized. The record is from RefSeq and is a predicted model, not a curated record. The transcript has 6 exons. NCBI's taxonomy places the organism in Eukaryota, Metazoa, Chordata, Aves, Passeriformes, Motacillidae.
UCGGGGGCAUUUCUGCAUCGCUUCAGCUGCGGCUGUGAUCAGCUUUUCGAAGUUCUCCUUGAAGAUGGGCUGUAGCGGUUUGAAAGGCAAAACAAUUCUGCUAACAACACCCACCUCUCAAACUCCCAGCAGCUGAUGACUUGUCUGGAGGACAAAGGAGAAGUAUUACAGUCAAGUUCUAGAUGUACACUGAAGUAAUUACUUGCAGGUAUUUAAAAUGUGUCUUUGCAUUUCCUGCAUAACUGGAUCCUAGCUCAUUAAGGAUCUCCUGCACUUUCCAGUGCCCCAGCAAAAUGUGGCUGCUCCACAAGAACAGAGAUCCUGCAGAGGAGGGAGUGUCUGAGAGAGAGUUUUUCAGCAGAGAAGGACCACAGAAUGUGGCUUGGAGGUGCUUUGAAUAGGCUUUCUUCAAGGUUCAUCAUGUCAGGAUAAUGCAAGAUAAGAAUUCUUACUUACUGGAGGACCAGGUGGACCAGGUUCCCUGCAUGCCCAUCCCACUGACAGAGACCUGGACCUGCUCUGUGUCUGUGACAGCCCUGGCAGAGCUGCACCAAGGUGCUGGAGGCAAAUGUAUGGAGAGCUUGCAUAGCAGUCAGGAACAGCCCAUAAGACAUUCUGUCAGCAGGAGAAACAGCUGGAAAAGGCAUCACCCAAGGAAAAUAAACAGAGCCAAGCAGUGUUUGCCAUCUUCUGGCCUGCAUAUCUGACACGGUAUGUUAAUAACAAUGGCCUGAACUUCAGGAAAGCAGCUCCAGACUCUCUGAUGCAGUGGUAUCUACUUUUCCUCUUUCUUUCCUGAACCUGAUUGUCACUGUCCUGUCUCAGGCACACAAAGCAUCUGCUUUGCUAUCUAUUUUUCAGUAUUUUCUCAUGUUACAUAAAUCUCAGUAUUAAUGAUGAGGGGAUAGAUGUGGGAAAGCAAAGAAAAUCCCAGAGAGAGUUUAUGUUACACAAAAUGUUUCAUACUCUGUCACCAAAUUCAGGAGUAUCUUAUCAAAUGGUGAGCUAUAGAGAAAAGACAAUAAUAUAUGGAGAAUAUUUAUGUCCU